RNAcentral lists this ribosomal RNA (372 nucleotides) under uncultured bacterium. RNAcentral's name for it is "bacterial SSU rRNA". It matches the Rfam family "Bacterial small subunit ribosomal RNA", at positions 524 to 898 of the family's 1533-position model. The record is from RNAcentral.
UACGGAGGGUGCAAGCGUUGUCCGGAUUUAUUGGGUUUAAAGGGUGCGUAGGCGGGCCUUUAAGUCAGUGGUGAAAGCCGACAGCUUAACUGUCGAAAUGCCAUUGAUACUGGGGGUCUUGAGUACAGUAGAGGUAGGCGGAAUUAAUGGUGUAGCGGUGAAAUGCAUAGAUACCAUUAAGAACACCGAUUGCGAAGGCAGCUUACUAUAGUGUAACUGACGCUGAGGCACGAAAGUGUGGGGAUCAAACAGGAUUAGAUACCCUGGUAGUCCACACUGUAAACGAUGAUCACUCGCUGUUGGCGAUAGACAGCCAGCGGCUUAGCGAAAGCGAUAAGUGAUCCACCUGGGGAGUACGCUCGCAAGAGUGAA